GACGAACGCUGGCGGCGUGCCUAAUACAUGCAAGUUGAGCGCUGAAGGUUGGUACUUGUACCGACUGGAUGAGCAGCGAACGGGUGAGUAACGCGUGGGGAAUCUGCCUUUGAGCGGGGGACAACAUUUGGAAACGAAUGCUAAUACCGCAUAAAAACUUUAAACACAAGUUUUAAGUUUGAAAGAUGCAAUUGCAUCACUCAAAGAUGAUCCCGCGUUGUAUUAGCUAGUUGGUGAGGUAAAGGCUCACCAAGGCGAUGAUACAUAGCCGACCUGAGAGGGUGAUCGGCCACAUUGGGACUGAGACACGGCCCAAACUCCUACGGGAGGCAGCAGUAGGGAAUCUUCGGCAAUGGACGAAAGUCUGACCGAGCAACGCCGCGUGAGUGAAGAAGGUUGUCGGAUCGUAAAACUCUGUUGGUAGAGAAGAACGUUGGUGAGAGUGGAAAGCUCAUCAAGUGACGGUAACUACCCAGAAAGGGACGGCUAACUACGUG
RNAcentral lists this ribosomal RNA (497 nucleotides) under uncultured bacterium. RNAcentral's name for it is "partial 16S ribosomal RNA". It matches the Rfam family "Bacterial small subunit ribosomal RNA", at positions 28 to 507 of the family's 1533-position model. The record is from RNAcentral.